GCGCGAGUGGCGGAAUUGGCAGACGCACCAGGUUUAGGUCCUGGCGCCUUCGGGUGUGCGGGUUCGACUCCCGCCUCGCGCA
RNAcentral lists this transfer RNA (82 nucleotides) under Metallococcus carri. It matches the Rfam family "tRNA". Rfam says of the family: Transfer RNA (tRNA) molecules are approximately 80 nucleotides in length. Their secondary structure includes four short double-helical elements and three loops (D, anti-codon, and T loops). The record is from Rfam by way of RNAcentral. RNAcentral also lists the same sequence under 1 other name. Lineage: Bacteria; Bacillati; Actinomycetota; Actinomycetes; Micrococcales; Dermacoccaceae.